CUUCUGUAUUUCAAAUAGGGGUGGAGCACCAAGAGAUAGCAGUGGAUAAAAUAUUGAUAAAAAUGUUCAAAUGUAGGAUAUAGAUAUAAGAAGAUAUGCUAUGAGUGCUUGGUUGGCAUGGUAACAUAAAGUACUUAACACAGAGCAUUACUUCAUUAGGUAUAUUUAUUAGAAAUAUAUAUAUACCACAUAGCACACAUCUAUCAAUAAAAGUAUAAUGUAAAAAUAUUUCAAUUGAAAGACAGAUUUAUCAACAAAACUGUAAUGUACGACAAAAACAAUAUAUUAAUGCUAUACAUUUUGACUGAUUAGGCAUGGCUUAAACAGCUAUUUUAUUCCACGUAUUAUUCUAUUAUUUAACAAAACAUAAGUAUUUAUCGAAAGUGACAUUAAUUGCUAUUGUGUGCCCCAUUCUUUUAGACUUUGAAGAAAGUACAUAAUAUUUCAAGCAGGUAUGAACCAAAAGCAAAUCACUAAAUGAAAGUGCAUUAAUUUUCUAAUUUAUACUAAUUGAGAUGACUCAAAAGCACUCAAUUUUUGAAACAUUAAAAUGAUUUACAAUGUUAAGUGACAAAAUGUUCAUGAUUUAUUCCAUCACAGUGGUGGAAUGAUAAAAAAAAACACUAAACUAACAACACAAAUUACAACCUCUUAAAAUAAUACUGAGUAACAUUUCACAUUGCAAACAAUACAAAAAGGUUUGACCUUUAUUUAUCUUAUAAGUUUAUUUCAAAUUACAAACAAGAAUGUGUCCUCAGUACACGAAUGCCCCACUCGCACUAUCAUUUUCUAUGUUCAGUGGACCGUGAAAUUGGGGUAAAAUCUCUAAUUUGGCAUUAAAAUUAGAAAGAUCAUAUCAUAGGGAACAUGUGUACCAAGUUUGAAGUCGAUUGGACUUCAACUUCAUUAAAAACUACCUCGACCAAAAACUUUAACCUGAAGCGGGACAGACGGACGAACGAACGAACGGACGGACGAACGAACGGACGGACGAACAGACGGACGGACGAACGGACGCACAGACCAGAAAACAUAAUGCCCCUCUACUAUCGUAGGUGGGGCAUAAAAACAAUAUUAGUACAGUCGACUCUCGUUAUGUCGAAGUCAGCCGGACCAGAGAAAUAUUUCGAGAUACACGUAGUUCGACUCAAACGAACACCGGAAGUUCGACAAUCUAAGGGACACAACUCUUGCAUAGCUUGAUAAAGCUAAAAUAAAUCCGGGUAAAUAUGGCAAGGGGAUCGAUAUUCUAGUAUUCAGAUCGAUGUAUUUGUAUGUCACAGUCUUUUAUUAUUAUAAUGACAUUAUUUUUACUUAUUCAAUUGUUUCAAUUAAAUCAAAAUCCUAUGGCUUUUCCAAGAGAGUACAUUUUUUUUUUUUGUAAUUUCCAAUCAAUAGUUUCGUUAUUCAGGUCGGUUAUAGCUGACAAAAUUGUUUAUUCUCGGAUACAAGAGAUUUAAGAAAAUUUCUAUUCAUUUUGUUUUAUCUCACUAUUUCUUUUCAAAAGAAAAUAUAACAAGAUUAAAGACGCCGUUUGAGUAGUUUUUAUCUGAUCAUCAAUGGAAGCCAUACUCCUCACUUUAUACACACCCAAGCGCAUUAGUAUAAAUCACAAAUUAAUUGUUUUGUAAACAUUUUAAAUACUUUUUCACGAACAUUAACAAUGUAUUACUAAUUAUUUAUAAAAAUUCUAUAAAAGAUAAUCUUAGGUAAACACUCAUGGAAAUAGCAUGUCAUAAAUCAAUACAGUGGUCAGUGACCGGAAAUCUAAUUGCACGUGUAUUGUCAGAUUAACUCUUCAAUCCAUUUAAAUCCCGGAGGUCAUGUUUUGACAUAUGUGUAUUAGUUCGAGAUAAAAAAUGAAUUUUGAAUGCUUUUGUUUAUCUUGGGACCGUAAAUUUAGUUCGACUCAACCGAAAUUUCGACUCAUCCAAUUUCGACUCAUCAGGAGUCGAAUUACAUACUUUUGUAUGGAAUUAAGUUCGGGACCACGUGAAAACUUCGACUCAUUCGAAAUUUCGAGUCAACCGAGUUCGAGACAACGAGAGUUAACUGUAUAUAUAACUUCACACUAUAAAUAGGUUUCAAAUUCUAAUGUUAACUUCAAUGUGCAAAAUGAAAGUGAAUCUGUGUUGCUUUAAGUUAACUUACAGAAUGUGACUGUCAAUAAUUUGAAAUGUAAAGUCAGCUGUAAGGUUUGAUAGAUAUUUCAAAAAUGUUUUUUUUUAAGAAAUAGUCAUUAUGGAAAGUACAGUUCACCUUUGUUAAAGCAUUUUGAAUAAAUUUUGAAGUUAUCUUCACAGAGGACACUUAUGUUUAUAUGUUUCAGACAUUGUAACUGCCCAAAAUAGCACAGCAGUAUAAAGUAUAAUAAUAAACAAAUCAACAAUAAAUAAAUUGAGACAGAAUAUUAACAAUAAUGUAACAAAUAUAAUGUUUUAAUUUUCACCAUCAAAUACAUAAACAGUGAUUAAAUACAAGGUGUUAUAAAUCCAACAAGACCCUCUUUGGUAGUAAAGUGAGUUGAAACUUUUAAUGUUGCAAUUUCUUUAAGGAAGUUUUUUUUUUGAAAAACUCCAAAGAAACUGUUUCAGACUAAAUUACAUCUCUUUUUCUGUUCUAAUAUAGAUACCUGACUUAUCUAAAUAUUUGUAAAUCCUUUUCCUAACUUUUAAGGAUGCAAUGCCUGAGGGAAUGUAUGAGUAAUAUACUGGUUAUAAUGUUAUAACAACAGGUUUCAUUGGGAGCUUUUUUUAAUAAUAUUUCAACUAUUCUAGAAAUUGCUUAAAAAUACAUUUAAAAUGUCCUUAAUAUAUAAUAAUAUGAGAUCAGUAGAAGAAGAAAGAAAGAAAAUCACAGAAUACAUAAACUAGAGGCUCUAAAGAGCCUGUGUCGCUCACCUUGGUCUAUGUGCAUAUUAAACAAAGGACACAAAUGGAUUCAUGACAAAAUUGUAUUUUGGUGAUGGUGAUGUGUUUGAAGUUCUUACUUUACUG
RNAcentral lists this long non-coding RNA (2996 nucleotides) under Mytilus galloprovincialis (Mediterranean mussel). Lineage: Eukaryota; Metazoa; Mollusca; Bivalvia; Mytilida; Mytilidae. The record is from RNAcentral.